AAAAUCUGUCCACUUCAGAGCAGUCAUAAACCACCACCUCACAAUGCGUUUUCAGAAAGAGAUGUUGAGAUGACAAAGGACAGAAGGCUUAUAAAUUAUCGCUCAGUGUUCUGAAGGUAUCUUGUUCACCUGUCCAGUCCUGACACGAGCAACAGCAAGUAAAUGAAAGUUGCUAACUUUCAAGAUGUUCCUGAGGCCUCAGAUGUUCAAUAUCACUCACUCAGAUAAGAUGUCUUCCCCU
This is a long non-coding RNA of Passer domesticus (house sparrow), 241 nucleotides long. RefSeq lists it as uncharacterized. The transcript has 4 exons. Lineage: Eukaryota; Metazoa; Chordata; Aves; Passeriformes; Passeridae. The record is from RefSeq and is a predicted model, not a curated record.